GACGAACGCUGGCGGCGUGCUUAACACAUGCAAGUCGAACGGAAAGGCCCUGCUUUUGUGGGGUGCUCGAGUGGCGAACGGGUGAGUAACACGUGAGUAACCUGCCCUUGACUUUGGGAUAACUUCAGGAAACUGGGGCUAAUACCGGAUAGGAGCUCCUGCUGCAUGGUGGGGGUUGGAAAGUUUCGGCGGUUGGGGAUGGACUCGCGGCUUAUCAGCUUGUUGGUGGGGUAGUGGCUUACCAAGGCUUUGACGGGUAGCCGGCCUGAGAGGGUGACCGGCGACAUUGGGACUGAGAGACGGACCAGAAGCCAACGGGAGGCAGCAGUGGGGAAUAUUGCAGAGUGGGCGGAAGCCUGAUGCGGCAACGCCGCGUGCGGGAUGACGGCCUUCGGGUUGUAAACCGCUGUCGCCUGUGACGAAGCGUGAGUGACGGUAAUGGGUAAAGAAGCACCGGCUAACUACGUG
This 468-nucleotide ribosomal RNA is filed under the name uncultured bacterium. RNAcentral's name for it is "partial 16S ribosomal RNA". It matches the Rfam family "Bacterial small subunit ribosomal RNA", at positions 28 to 507 of the family's 1533-position model. The record is from RNAcentral.